CCUACGGGUGGCAGCAGUGGGGAAUAUUGCGCAAUGGGCGAAAGCCUGACGCAGCGACGCCGCGUGAGGGAUGAAGGUCUUCGGAUCGUAAACCUCUGUCAGCAGGGAAGAACGGUCACUGUGCUAAUCAGCAGUGAAUUGACGGUACCUGCAAAGGAAGCACCGGCUAACUCCGUGCCAGCAGCCGCGGUAAUACGGAGGGUGCGAGCGUUCAUCGGAAUUACUGGGCGUAAAGCGCUCGUAGGCGGGAUGUCAAGUCCAGGGUGAAAUCCCCGUGCUCAACGUGGGAACUGCCUUUGAAACUGGCAAACUGGAGUGUGUGAGAGGAUAGUGGAAUUCCAGGUGUAGGAGUGAAAGCCGUAGAUAUCUGGAGGAACAUCAGUGGCGAAGGCGACUAUCUGGCACAUAACUGACGCUGAGGAGCGAAAGCGUGGGUAGCAAACAGGAUUAGAUACCCUGGUAGUC
Molecule: ribosomal RNA, 465 nt
Filed under: uncultured bacterium
Lineage: Bacteria
Description: partial 16S ribosomal RNA
Rfam family: Bacterial small subunit ribosomal RNA
Source: RNAcentral